RNAcentral lists this long non-coding RNA (1620 nucleotides) under Salmo salar (Atlantic salmon). RNAcentral describes it as "lncRNA (ENSSSAG00000092149.1)". The record is from RNAcentral. Lineage: Eukaryota; Metazoa; Chordata; Actinopteri; Salmoniformes; Salmonidae.
GUCAUGUUUAUUAUGGAGGACAGUGGUAGAGAUGAAGGAGUCAUGUUUAUUAUGGAGGACAGUGGGAGAGAUGAAGGAGUCAUGUUUAUUAUGGAGGACAGUGUUAGAGAUGAAGGAGUCAUGUUUAUUAUGGAGGACAGUGGUAGAGAUGGAGUCAUGUUUAUUAUGGGGGACAUGGUGGUAGAGAGGUACAGAUGAAGGAGUCAAGUUUAUUAUGGAGGACAGUGUUAGAGAGGUAGAGAUGAUGGAGUCAUGUUUAUUAUGGAGGACAGUGGUAGAGAUGAAGGAGCGAUGUUUAUUAUGGAGGACAGUGGUAGAGAUGAAGGAGUCAUGUUUAUUAUGGAGGACAGUGGGAGAGAUGAAGGAGUCGUGUUUAUUAUGGAGGACAUGGUGGUAGAGAGGUAGAGAGAUGAAGGAGUCAUGUUUAUUAUGGAUGACAUAGUGGUAGAGAUGAAGGAGUCAUGUUUAUUAUGGAGGACAGUGGUAGAGAUGAAGGAGUCAUGUUUAUUAUGGAGGACAGUGGUAGAGAUGAAGGAGUCAUGUUUAUUAUGGAGGACAGUGGGAGAGAUGAAGGAGUCAUGUUUAUUAUGGAGGACAGUGGUAGAGAUGAAGGAGUCAUGUUUAUUAUGGAGGACAGUGGUAGAGAUGAAGGAGUCAUGUUUAUUAUGGAGGACAGUGGUAGAGAUGAAGGAGUCAUGUUUAUUAUGGAGGACAGUGGUAAAGAUGAAGGAGUCAUGUUUAUUAUGGAGGACAGUGGGAGAGAUGAAGGAGUCAUGUUUAUUAUGGAGGACAUGGUGGUAGAGAGGUAGAGAGAUGAAGGAGUCAUGUUUAUUAUGGAUGACAUAGUGGUAGAGAUGAAGGAGUCAUGUUUAUUAUGGAGGACAGUGGUAGAGAUGAAGGAGUCAUGUUUAUUAUGGAUUACAUGGGGGUAGAGAGGUAGAGAGAUGAAGGAGUCAUGUUUAUUAUGGAGGACAGAGGUAGAGCUGAAGGAGUCAUGUUUAUUAUGGAGGACAGUGGUAGAGAUGAAGGAGUCAUGUUUAUUAUGGAGGACAGUGGUAGAGAUGAAGGAGUCAUGUUUAUUAUGGAGGACAGUGGUAGAGAUGAAGGAGUCAUGUUUAUUAUGGAGGACAGUGGGAGAGAUGAAGGAGUCAUGUUUAUUAUGGAGGACAGUGGUAGAGAUGAAAGAGUCAUGUUUAUUAUGGAGGACAGUGGUAGAGAUGAAGGAGUCAUGUUUAUUAUGGAGGACAGUGGGAGAGAUGAAGGAGUCAUGUUUAUUAUGGAGGACAUGGUGGUAGAGAGGAAGAGAGAUGAAGGAGUCAUGUUUAUUAUGGAUGACAGUGGUAAAGAUGAAGAAGUCAUGUUUUUUAUGGAGGACAGUGGUAGAGAUGGAGUCAUGUGUACUAUGGAGGACAGUGGUAGAGAUGAAGGAGUCAUGUUUAUUAUGGAGGACAGUGGUAGAGAUGAAGGAGUCAUGUUUAUUAUGGAUGACAGUGGUAGAGAUGAAGGAGUCAUGUUUAUUAUGGAGGACAGUGGUAGAGAGGUAGAGAGAUGAAGGAGUCAUGUUUAUUAUGGAGGACAGAGGUAGAGAUGAAGGAGUCAUGUUUAUUAGGGAGGACAGUG